Ursus americanus (American black bear) is the source of this 1898-nucleotide long non-coding RNA. The record is from Ensembl. Lineage: Eukaryota; Metazoa; Chordata; Mammalia; Carnivora; Ursidae.
GAUGCCGGCGAGGAUUUGAAAGCCUGAGCAUAUUGGAGGAAACGUAAUCCUCGGGCCUGUCCCGCAUGUUCUGUUCCCGUGACACGCUGGUGAGGACAGGAAGGAAGGACAGGGCCGGAGACAGACGUGGGAGCCAGCUCGCAGAAAUCAUACCCGUGUCCGGCUGGCUGGGCCACCAGGCCCUCGUGCGGGUGGGCCACCUCCCGGGGAUUCCUCCUCCGUCUUCCUCCCGUGGCCUCGUUGUGCAGAAGGGAGCACCCGGCAACAACAAUUGACUCCCGACCUUUCCUCCCUGUUUUCUCCUUAAAAAGUCAUGACAAACAUUUUUUAAGAGAUUUUAUUUAUUUGAGAGAUGGAGAGAUAGUGAGAGACAGAACGAGCAGGGGGGGAGAGGCAGAGGGAGAAGCAGACUCCCCGAGGAGCAAGGAGCCCGAUGUGGGGCUCGAUUCCAGGAUCUGGGAUCAUGACCUGAGCUGAAGGCAGAUGCUUAACCCACUGAGCCACCCAGGUGUCCCGGGAAACAUUUUUUAACUCCGCCAGUUAAUGCCCGAAUCUGUUCUUGUAAAAAAUUCAAAGAUAGCAGAUAAAGCAACCCGCUCUGGGCCCUGCCUCCUGAGCACCCUCUCUGGGGUCUGCGAGAGCUGGGAAACCCACAGGGCCCAGGAGGCGGGGGCCUCGUGGCUUUUCCUGCCCCACACCCAUGGCGGGUGUGCUGACGGAGCAGCAGCCAGCCUGGCCCCUGACUUCGAGUCCCUCCAGGACUCGCCGUGCAGCCCUGUCACUCCAUGUCACUGAAGUCUGGACGUGGCUCGUCGCUGCUGUGGAGCGUAGCCUGCCCACGCCGUUGCAGGAAUGGGCACCGAUCACGGCACUGCUGUAGCCCGAGCCCCGGGCCCCGGGCCACCCACGUGGCAGAUGGAGAGGAAGCUCUGUGCACACAGUGAGGGGCAGGGUGGAGCCCAACGAGCCCCGCGGACGCCAGCCACAGGCCCAGGGCAGCGGAGAAGGAGGAGAAGGAGGAGGAGGGCGCCAGCAGCCGCCGGCUGUGCUUGGCAAGACUAUGAGACGGAGCCAGACUCACACGGGAGCUGCUGGCGCGGAGCAGGGAGGAGAGAGGAGACUCCAAAUAUCGGGCCCCUCAAUGCCGGGACGGCUGACACAUCUCCAGACCCCCAGAUCCAGCCAGACACGACGCGUCCCUGCUUCUUGAAGUGAGGCCUGGCUGCGUGUCCGGCUCUGAGCCUUUCAAGGUCAGCUCAGUGUUUCCUGCUUUGGUGGUGGUGGGAAGCUGUGUCAGCUGGGGCUCCUGGUCCCCUGGGGGAGCGCAAAGAGUAAAAGCCUCCGCUGACCCACCCUGGACACAGGGCGGCAGGAGGUGCAGCUCGACGUGCACGGUGGGGGGCUGUCUGCGGCACAGCGGGGCCUACUCCAGCACCACUCCUAGGCUUCCCCAGACGCGAGGGGGCUCUGCCUCUCCCCUCCUGGGCUGGAGGCAGCGGGCUCAGGGCUGCUUCUCGGGGAGGCUCAAAACACCUUACUCCGGGGUCCCUUGGACACAGUGAGAGGCGCAGUGUGGCCUCUGCAGGGGUGCGGAACCGGGCAGCAGGAAGCACAGCUCUGGCCCUGUGAGCACGAGAGGGGAGGGUUCCAGCUGGUGACAGUCCCCUGGGCUCUGUCCUGACAGAGGGGCGGGUCCUCCUCUGAGCGUGUCCUGGAACACACAGACGUGAAUCUUGCCCUCCCCACCCCAAGCUGGGAGAGGUGAGACCCCCCAGCCCACCCGGGACCAACAGCGCAGACCUGCUUCUGUGGCUCCCAAAGCCCGGGGACCCCACACGUGGAGACGUUGCCAGGAGCCCUGGGUGUGCUUGUACUUGGAGACGCCCUGAUUAAACGAU